RNAcentral lists this ribosomal RNA (1287 nucleotides) under metagenome. RNAcentral describes it as "bacterial SSU rRNA". It matches the Rfam family "Bacterial small subunit ribosomal RNA", at positions 242 to 1520 of the family's 1533-position model. The record is from RNAcentral.
UAGCUAGUUGGUGAGGUAAAGGCUUACCAAGGCGACGAUCUGUAGCGGGUCUGAGAGGAUGAUCCGCCACACUGGAACUGAGACACGGUCCAGACUCCUACGGGAGGCAGCAGUGGGGAAUUUUGGACAAUGGGGGCAACCCUGAUCCAGCCAUGCCGCGUGAGUGAAGAAGGCCUUCGGGUUGUAAAGCUCUUUCGGCCGGGAAGAAAUCGCAUGGGCCAAUACCCUGUGUGGAUGACGGUACCGGAAUAAGAAGCACCGGCUAACUACGUGCCAGCAGCCGCGGUAAUACGUAGGGUGCGAGCGUUAAUCGGAAUUACUGGGCGUAAAGCGUGCGCAGGCGGUUUUGUAAGACAGGCGUGAAAUCCCCGGGCUUAACCUGGGAACUGCGUUUGUGACUGCAAGGCUAGAGUACGGCAGAGGGGGGUGGAAUUCCACGUGUAGCAGUGAAAUGCGUAGAGAUGUGGAGGAACACCAAUGGCGAAGGCAGCCCCCUGGGUCGAUACUGACUCUCAUGCACGAAAGCGUGGGUAGCAAACAGGAUUAGAUACCCUGGUAGUCCACGCCCUAAACUAUGUCAACUAGGUGUUGGGUGGGUAAAACCAUUUAGUACCGUAGCUAACGCGUGAAGUUGACCGCCUGGGGAGUACGGCCGCAAGGUUAAAACUCAAAGGAAUUGACGGGGACCCGCACAAGCGGUGGAUGAUGUGGAUUAAUUCGAUGCAACGCGAAAAACCUUACCUACCCUUGACAUGCCAGGAACUUGCCAGAGAUGGCUUGGUGCCCGAAAGGGAGCCUGGACACAGGUGCUGCAUGGCUGUCGUCAGCUCGUGUCGUGAGAUGUUGGGUUAAGUCCCGCAACGAGCGCAACCCUUGUCGUUAAUUGCCAUCAUUUAGUUGGGCACUUUAACGAGACUGCCGGUGACAAACCGGAGGAAGGUGGGGAUGACGUCAAGUCCUCAUGGCCCUUAUGGGUAGGGCUUCACACGUCAUACAAUGGUCGGUACAAAGGGUUGCCAAGCCGCGAGGCGGAGCCAAUCCCAGAAAGCCGAUCGUAGUCCGGAUUGCAGGCUGCAACUCGCCUGCAUGAAGUCGGAAUCGCUAGUAAUCGUGGAUCAGCAUGUCACGGUGAAUACGUUCCCGGGUCUUGUACACACCGCCCGUCACACCAUGGGAGCGGGUUCCGCCAGAAGUAGGUAGCCUAACCGCAAGGGGGGCGCUUACCACGGCGGGGUUCGUGACUGGGGUGAAGUCGUAACAAGGUAGCCGUAGGGGAACCUGCGGCUG